Molecule: long non-coding RNA, 514 nt
Filed under: Monodelphis domestica (gray short-tailed opossum)
Lineage: Eukaryota; Metazoa; Chordata; Mammalia; Didelphimorphia; Didelphidae
Description: lncRNA (ENSMODG00000033360.2)
Source: RNAcentral
AUGUCACAGAGUCAGAGCAGUGCUGGAAGACACCUUAUGAGGAGGAAUCUGAGGAUCAGAGAGCUGAAGCAGGAUGUAAGUUCUGCUGGGCUUCCCUGCUUGCACUGCAUUAUGGGAAGGGCCUCAUCAGCCUUUCCUCUGGGUCUCUGGCUUGACAUGAGCAGCUGCUCCUGGAUUUAUCCCACAGAAUGGCCAUUAUAGUUGAUGAAAAUGCUCAGCCCCAAAGCCUUGGGGAAGAGGAAUAGCCAGGGUAAGUGGAGCUUUAAUUAAUGCCGGUGGGACAGAGCUGGGGUCCAAGAGGCUCCUGCAAGCAGCCAAUGUCUCUAAUGAUGUUCUUGGGAAGCCAGGGCCGGGGAUGGAGCCUGCCCCAGAGAUGGGGCUGAGCGGCUCCGCGCCUGCCAAGUUGUUUAAAGAAGGUAUAAAUCCACCAGGCCCAGAAAACAGGCCCGGAAGGAAUGUCUGAACGGCUCCCCGGAGCCCGCCCGGGCAGGGGAUAAAUAAAGGAGGUCGUUAC